Molecule: long non-coding RNA, 334 nt
Filed under: Manihot esculenta (cassava)
Lineage: Eukaryota; Viridiplantae; Streptophyta; Magnoliopsida; Malpighiales; Euphorbiaceae
Description: long non-coding RNA (MESC_LNC008719)
Source: RNAcentral
UACUUCAUGAGUACAUGGAAAAAAUAGGAUGGGUUAUGACCAAAUCAAAAGGAGUGCUACACUUUUUGCUCAAUGCAGUUGGGACUCUCUUCCCUUCUCCAAUUACUUGAGCCUUGAUCAAGUGGAUCGCACCAUGCACACCACACCUAGGGGAGUACUCAGUUUCUUUUGCAUUUUAAUAUCUCCUAUACAUUGAGGACAAUGCAUGAUUUAGGUGUGGGGGUGCAUAUUUCUGAAUUUUUACUUUUUGAGUUUAUUUUUGCUUUGAUUUUUAGUUUGCUUGCAUUAGUUGAAAUUUUUUCAUUUUUGCUUUCAAUAACACACACAAAUAGCC